RNAcentral lists this microRNA (22 nucleotides) under Echinococcus granulosus. RNAcentral's name for it is "egr-bantam-3p". Its record names the gene egr-bantam-3p. RNAcentral also lists the same sequence under 1 other name. The record is from miRBase by way of RNAcentral. Lineage: Eukaryota; Metazoa; Platyhelminthes; Cestoda; Cyclophyllidea; Taeniidae.
UGAGAUCGCGAUUACAGCUGAU